CCUGGGAGCAGGUGGGCUGAGGCCGAAAAGGGUGUCAGUGGAGGGCGGUGGGAUAGGAGUUGGUUUUAUAGGUUUGGGGUGGGCAGUGGAAAAUUACAGAAGUUAC
Sapajus apella (tufted capuchin) is the source of this 106-nucleotide long non-coding RNA. RefSeq lists it as uncharacterized. The record is from RefSeq and is a predicted model, not a curated record. The transcript has 3 exons. NCBI's taxonomy places the organism in Eukaryota, Metazoa, Chordata, Mammalia, Primates, Cebidae.